RNAcentral lists this long non-coding RNA (1660 nucleotides) under Cricetulus griseus (Chinese hamster). RNAcentral describes it as "lncRNA (ENSCGRG00015032218.1)". The record is from RNAcentral. Lineage: Eukaryota; Metazoa; Chordata; Mammalia; Rodentia; Cricetidae.
GUACUGUGACUGCAUUUGCUCUUUCGGUUUCACUUUGGUACUUGCUGCACAGAAUGCUGCCACUCCAGCUGGCUAGGUCGCUCUGGACUGGUGACAGAUUUCACUGUGACCCCGCAGUAAAUCAGUUAGGAGAUCUAACGUCAACCUGAAAGGCCAGAUUCCAACAUCAAGUGCAGAAGGAAUCCAGGUUUGACCCUCUGCCGUCUACAGAGAUGUGUGAGCACCCACCCAAGGCUACUUCCAGCCUCCAUGGGAGUUCUUGAAGCUCUUCUUUAUAUGUUUAACUCUGUUCUAGACCAUUCACUUCUGCAAAAUUUGAAAGUCCACACUCUGCAGCUCCAAAGGCCUGAGAUGGUCGGAGUAGAGCACGUGAUGCUCAUUUUGGACACAGAGGAUUAGAGACAUGAAGGGGAAAGAGAGGUGGGGAUUUUUCUCCUCCUGAGCAAGAAUCACUUUCAGAUGACUUUGUUUCUAGUUGCUGGCAGCUGUAGCCAGGAGCCAACCUGACAGCCACUUCUACCCAAACCUUCUCCCCACGAUGCUGCAUAUCAAUACAUGUUCAGUGUUCCAGGGAAAUCCCAGGGAGAGGGAGAGAGAGAGAGAGAGAGAGAGAGAGAGAGAGAGAGAGAGAGAGAGGCUGGAGGAGGGCAGCAAGUGCUGGGAACUGAGCUCAAGUCUUCUGUAACAACACCACGCCCUCUUAAAUUCUGAGCCACGCCUCCAGCCAGCUUCCCCACCUGUGAUCAUUCCAAGUCACAUUUCAUGGAUGGUUGUUUUCUCUGGCCCAGUGUGUUUUGUCUUCAAGAAGACUCGUGGAAGACUGUAAAAAGCACAGGUUUUUCAUAACUUUGAGAUCACCUCACUGGACUGAGUAAGUAAUCCCAGAAUUCUAAUUUGAAGCUGAUCAUUCAUAAAGCUGAAUCCAAGAAGGUACAUUCCUAGGAAAUGCUUUGGCAGUGUUUUGUCCUGAUCUGGCUCAGUCACUGUGGGAAAAACAGACUCAUUCUCUGCACUCAGAAGGGUUUCUCUAUAGUCGGAUAUAGAUGCUGAAUGAAGACACGUUUGGGGAAUUGCCUAGGUGAUAUGUCUCAUCUGUUUGCCUAAUGGAUGUAAGCAUUAAAGUCAUGGGAUAAAUCCAUGCCUAUGGAGGACCAAAGAGAUGUUUAGAUAAAUUGGAAAAAAAAAAAGGUUGGAGUGAUGCAAACAUACUGUGCUGGUUUGUUGACUGUUUCUCGGGUAGUAACCCACAACCAAUAGUUUCCUUGUUUUUGUGAAAUAUUUUUUACUAUCAGGUGUCAAUUCCCAAAUCACAGGUUUGAUUUUCCGUAUCACUCGGAUACCUGUGCAUCAGUACUCUGGGUGUUUGUUUUCUGGAUCCCUAGAAACACCUGCUGCCACUGAAGUCAGUCCCUGGUUCUCAGCCCCUUUGCAUCUGAAUUCACCCCAUGAGGUCUUUGUCCUCUAAGUGGGUCCUCAUUCUUUUCUUCUUCCAUUUUUUUCAUCUAAAAGUGGACCAGUGCAUGUAAUUCCAGCCUCCUUCCAUCACACACUGCCAAGCAGCCAAGCCAAAGAAACAAAAACAAAACAAAGCAGAAUUUCCUGGAGUGAACUCUACUUCUCUGUAACUCAGAAGCUGAAAGCACACUGAACAACCUCCUUG